Molecule: unclassified non-coding RNA, 167 nt
Filed under: uncultured Eurotiomycetes
Lineage: Eukaryota; Fungi; Ascomycota; Eurotiomycetes
Description: sequence contains ITS2
Source: RNAcentral
UCAACCCUCAAGCCCCGGCUUGGUGUUGGACUUGGCCCGGGAGUUUACACCCCCAGGGCCGGUCCCAAAGGCAAUGGCGGGCGUUGGAGAACCCCCCGGUACAAUGAGCUUUCCAAGCACGUACCGACGGCGGGUCUCCGGGCCUCGGUCUUUCAUUAUUUUAUCAA